AGGGUUUGAUUAUGGCUCAGGACGAACGCUGGCGGCGUGCUUAACACAUGCAAGUCGAACGAGACGAUUGAAAGCUUGCUUUUGAAAGUCGAGUGGCAAACGGGUGAGUAACGCGUAGACAACCUGCCGUAAAGAUGGGGACAACAGUCCGAAAGGACUGCUAAUACCGAAUGUUGUGGAACUUCCGCAUGGGAGCUCUACUAAAGAUGGCCUCUACUUGUAAGCUAUCGCUUUACGAUGGGUCUGCGUCUGAUUAGCUAGUUGGUGGGGUAACGGCUUACCAAGGCGACGAUCAGUAGCCGGUCUGAGAGGAUGAACGGCCACAUUGGAACUGAGACACGGUCCAG
This 347-nucleotide ribosomal RNA is filed under the name uncultured bacterium. RNAcentral describes it as "bacterial SSU rRNA". It matches the Rfam family "Bacterial small subunit ribosomal RNA", at positions 8 to 334 of the family's 1533-position model. The record is from RNAcentral.